RNAcentral lists this ribosomal RNA (200 nucleotides) under uncultured bacterium. Its description in RNAcentral is "partial 16S ribosomal RNA". It matches the Rfam family "Bacterial small subunit ribosomal RNA", at positions 335 to 527 of the family's 1533-position model. The record is from RNAcentral.
ACUCCUACGGGAGGCAGCAGUGGGGAAUAUUGCACAAUGGGGGAAACCCUGAUGCAGCCAUGCCGCGUGUGUGAAGAAGGCCUUCGGGUUGUAAAGCACUUUCAGUAGGGAGGAAAGGGUGAGUCUUAAUACGGCUCAUCUGUGACGUUACCUACAGAAGAAGGACCGGCUAACUCCGUGCCAGCAGCCGCGGUAAUACA